RNAcentral lists this long non-coding RNA (546 nucleotides) under Homo sapiens (human). RNAcentral describes it as "novel transcript, antisense to MYO9A". The record is from RNAcentral. Lineage: Eukaryota; Metazoa; Chordata; Mammalia; Primates; Hominidae.
AGAACACCUUCCAACUCAACAUAAGGCAGCUACAGGUUGGAGUGCAAUGGCGCAAUCUUGGCUCACGACAACCUCCGCCUCCCGGGUAUAAGUGAUUCUCCUGCCUCGGCCUCCCGAGUAGCUGAGAUUACAGCCUUAAACCGAUUAAAUGAAGUCUUGACAGCCAGCAGCCUGCAUCCACUACAGAAAAAACGACACCUUGAAUCACACCUUCACUUGAAUUCAGUUGAGUUCCAGUGACUACCACCUCUGUGCUUUGUCAACUUUGGGUUGAGUCCUUUCCUGAAAACACAUCAGUAAUGAUGCAUGCCCCGCAUCCAGCUUCCCACCAAGAAGAAAAAAGAGAGGAGGAUGAGGAAAGCCAUGGAGUGAUUUACCAAAGUGCUUGUUACAGUGAAAAACACAGCCCACAGGCACUGAGGUGGGACUACAGAACCUUGCUGGACCACAUCUUUUCAGCACAUUUCUGUGACCCUCUGUUUUUGAUGGAGAAAACAACGCUACUGUUAUGAAACACAGAAUGGAGUCUUCAUUAAUCUUCCAGCA